RNAcentral lists this ribosomal RNA (468 nucleotides) under uncultured bacterium. Its description in RNAcentral is "partial 16S ribosomal RNA". It matches the Rfam family "Bacterial small subunit ribosomal RNA", at positions 28 to 507 of the family's 1533-position model. The record is from RNAcentral.
GACGAACGCUGGCGGCGUGCUUAACACAUGCAAGUCGAACGGAAAGGCCCUGCUUUUGUGGGGUGCUCGAGUGGCGAACGGGUGAGUAACACGUGAGUAACCUGCCCUUGACUUUGGGAUAACUUCAGGAAACUGGGGCUAAUACCGGAUAGGAGCUCCUGCUGCAUGGUGGGGGUUGGAAAGUUUCGGCGGUUGGGGAUGGACUCGCGGCUUAUCAGCUUGUUGGUGGGGUAGUGGCUUACCAAGGCUUUGACGGGUAGCCGGCCUGAGAGGGUGACCGGCCACAUUGGGACUGAGAUACGGCCCAGACUCCUACGGGAGGCAGCAGUGGGGAAUAUUGCAGAAUGGGCGGAAGCCUGAUGCAGCAACGCCGCGUGCGGGAUGACGGCCUUCGGGUUGUAAACCGCUUUCGCCUGUGACGAAGCGUGAGUGACGGUCAUGGGUACAGCAGCACCGGCUAACUACGUG